This 253-nucleotide ribosomal RNA is filed under the name uncultured bacterium. Its description in RNAcentral is "partial 16S ribosomal RNA". It matches the Rfam family "Bacterial small subunit ribosomal RNA", at positions 524 to 776 of the family's 1533-position model. The record is from RNAcentral.
UACGUAGGCAGCGAGCGUUGUUCGGAAUUACUGGGCGUAAAGAGUGUGUAGGCGGUGCUCCCAGUCUGUUGUGAAAUCUCCCGGCUUAACUGGGAGGGUGCAGCGGAAACUAGAGUGCUAGAGGGUGGGAGAGGUAAGCGGAAUUCCUGGUGUAGCGGUGAAAUGCGCAGAUAUCAGGAGGAACACCAAUGGCGAAGGCAGCUCACUGGGACGAUACUGACGCUGAGACGCGAAAGCGUGGGGAGCAAACAGG